UACGCCAUGCGUAGGUUUGGUGGACGGGGAUUGUUGUCAAGACUUCCAGUAAGAUUCUGAUACAGAAUUUCUGG
This 74-nucleotide non-coding RNA is filed under the name unclassified sequences. RNAcentral describes it as "RT-6 RNA". It matches the Rfam family "RT-6 RNA". From Rfam's summary of the family: Firmicutes. Nearby to self-splicing intron genes The record is from Rfam by way of RNAcentral.